GCAGUCGACGCUUUUUCUUUCACCGGAGCUUGCUCCACCGAAAGAAAAAGAGUGGCGAACGGGUGAGUAACACGUGGGUAACCUGCCCAUCAGAAGGGGAUAACACUUGGAAACAGGUGCUAAUACCGUAUAACACUAUUUUCCGCAUGGAAGAAAGUUGAAAGGCGCUUUUGCGUCACUGAUGGAUGGACCCGCGGUGCAUUAGCUAGUUGGUGAGGUAACGGCUCACCAAGGCAACGAUGCAUAGCCGACCUGAGAGGGUGAUCGGCCAC
This 272-nucleotide ribosomal RNA is filed under the name Enterococcus sp. RNAcentral describes it as "partial 16S ribosomal RNA". It matches the Rfam family "Bacterial small subunit ribosomal RNA", at positions 60 to 311 of the family's 1533-position model. Lineage: Bacteria; Bacillati; Bacillota; Bacilli; Lactobacillales; Enterococcaceae. The record is from RNAcentral.